RNAcentral lists this ribosomal RNA (848 nucleotides) under uncultured bacterium. RNAcentral describes it as "bacterial SSU rRNA". It matches the Rfam family "Bacterial small subunit ribosomal RNA", at positions 48 to 890 of the family's 1533-position model. The record is from RNAcentral.
CUUACACAUGCAGUCGAGCGGAGAUGAGGUGCUUGCACCUUAUCUUAGCGGCGGACGGGUGAGUAAUGCUUAGGAAUCUGCCUAUUAGUGGGGGACAACAUUCCGAAAGGAAUGCUAAUACCGCAUACGUCCUACGGGAGAAAGCAGGGGAUCUUCGGACCUUGCGCUAAUAGAUGAGCCUAAGUCGGAUUAGCUAGUUGGUGGGGUAAAGGCCUACCAAGGCGACGAUCUGUAGCGGGUCUGAGAGGAUGAUCAGCCACACUGGGACUGAGACACGGCCCAGACUCCUACGGGAGGCAGCAGUGGGGAAUAUUGGACAAUGGGGGGAACCCUGAUCCAGCCAUGCCGCGUGUGUGAAGAAGGCCUUAUGGUUGUAAAGCACUUUAAGCGAGGAGGAGGCUACUGAGACUAAUACUCUUGGAUAGUGGACGUUACUCGCAGAAUAAGCACCGGCUAACUCUGUGCCAGCAGCCGCGGUAAUACAGAGGGUGCGAGCGUUAAUCGGAUUUACUGGGCGUAAAGCGCGCGUAGGCGGCUUUUUAAGUCGGAUGUGAAAUCCCCGAGCUUAACUUGGGAAUUGCAUUCGAUACUGGGAAGCUAGAGUAUGGGAGAGGAUGGUAGAAUUCCAGGUGUAGCGGUGAAAUGCGUAGAGAUCUGGAGGAAUACCGAUGGCGAAAGCAGCCAUCUGGCCUAAUACUGACGCUGAGGUACGAAAGCAUGGGGAGCAAACAGGAUUAGAUACCCUGGUAGUCCAUGCCGUAAACGAUGUCUACUAGCCGUUGGGGCCUUUGAGGCUUUAGUGGCGCAGCUAACGCGAUAAGUAGACCGCCUGGGGGAGUACGGUCGCA